AAAGAGAUAACUCCUAGCAUCCACGAUCUGCAGGGCAUGCGCACGUCGCCGGGCUCUGAGCCUUUCUUCCUGACUAUAAAUACAGAUCGACGAGGAGGCCUGAGUGGCGGGACUCUCCAUUCGCUGCUAGUCCACCCGAGCAGAAAUCCAUCGAAAGAGCACCCCAGACUCUCAUACGUGCAAACCUUCCCCUGAUUCUCCUAAGCAUAGGCCCUAACACAUACGCACGUACUGCUGCUGCUUCUCUCGGUAAGUUCACAAAAGCAAGAACAUCCGUGAGAGAGUAGAAGAGAGAUAUCAAGGAGGAACUUGGUGCUUCAAAGAGGUGAGAAGGUAGAAAAUCAUGUCAUCCCUCUGCCCUUAGGUUUGUCCUUUUGGUUCAAGUCAAGGAGCAUUCUCAUCUUCCUCAUGUCAGGUCCUUCGUUUCGGUCUUUUAGUUCAAAUCAAGGAAUAUAUAUUUUCAUAGUUUCUUCAUGAUACCAUGCCCUUAGGUUCGGUCUUUUGGUUCGGAUCAAGGAAAUUUGCAUAGUCCCAUGUCAUAUAUUUUGCAUACCUUCGUUUUGGCCUUCGCGGUUCAGGACAAGGAUCAUAUAUUUGCACACCUUCGUUUUGGCCUUCGCGGUUCAGGAUAAGGAUCAUAUAUUUUGCAGACCUUCGUUUUGGCCUUCGCGGUUCAGGACAAGGAUCAUAUAUUUGCACACCUUCGUUUUGGCCUUCGCGGUUCAGCACAAGGAUCAUAUAUUUGCACACCUUCGUUUUGGCCUUCGCGGUUCAGCACAAGGAUCAUAUAUUUGCACACCUUCGUUUUGGCCUUCGCGGUUCAGCACAAGGAUCAUAUAUUUGCACACCUUCGUUUUGGCCUUCGCGGUUCAGCACAAGGAUCAUAUAUUUGCACACCUUCGUUUUGGCCUUCGUGGUUCAGCACAAGGAUCAUAUAUUUGCACACCUUCAUUUUGGCCUUCGUGGUUUAGAAUAAGGAUCAUAUAUUUUGCAUACCUUCGUUUUGGCCUCCGCGGUUCAGAACAAGGACAAUGUUCCGAAAAACACCUAAAAUUGGUAUGUUAAUAACAAAAAUCUUAAUAUACGCACUGCGCAUGGGUUCUUCGCGAAUUCCAUGAUAUGAGCCGUUAAAAAUCUUGAAAUCAUAAAUCGAAGCUCCUAUCAUGGGUUCUUCACGAAUUCCAUGAUAUGAGCCAUGAAAAUCCCAAAAUUAUAACUUGACGCUCCGCGCAUGGGUUCUCAAUAAGAAUUCCAUGAUAUGAGUUUUAUUUCACCAAAAUAAUAAGUCAUGUUCUUAUGGUCAAGGAUAGUCAAAUUAUCUUCGACUUCAAAUUUGCAUGCAAAUUAUAUUAGUAUAUUUGCAUCUCGUCCAAAAUAAAUUGUAUGCAUCUUUCACAUGGGUGCACGCAUGAUAAGAAAAAAAAUGAAGAUUAGGAAUAUAGCAUGUGUCGCUUGUACCAACAAUCAUAUGUGCAUUUAAAUAUUUUAUUCACAUAGUUUGAGCCGUAAAAAUGCUAAAAUGAUAAACCAUGCCCUGCGCAUGGGUUCCCAUCGAAAUUUCAUGAUAUGAGGCUGAUGUUAAAUUAUAAGUUACGUUCUACGCAUGGCUUUUCCAAAAUAAAAUAAAAUGAAUGAAGCAUAUUAGCAAAAUAUAUUACAAGAUACCAAAUAUAAUGAUGAAAAUAUAGCUCAUAAAACAUCACUUUAAUUAUGAUGCUUAUAGGCAUCAUAGUCAUACAUGUGCCACUAAACUAUGUCAAAUUAAUAUGCAUGCCCAAUAUAUGAGUCAACAUCAUGAGUUCCAGGCUUAGCCAAAACUAUAUAUUCGCACUUGAUAUCAUACUAGUGCAAAUCAAAUCCAAAAAUCUGCUCCAUAAUGCGAAUAUAUGCUCCAAAAUUCUAAACACAAUCACAUGAACAAACUUCAAGUUCCCAAGCAGGCGUCCGUCAUCGACAAGCGAGGAAGACUUCAUUUUAUUUUUAUCUUUUGUAAUAGUCAUAGGCAUAUGUUUUAAUCCUUUAGAAAUGUUGGAAUUUUUAAUCAGGGGUUUUCUCGUGGGAGAUGUAAUAAACAGAAUUUUUAUGUAAAUGUAAGAGUUCUGGAAAUACAGAGCAUGCAAUGUUUGAUCCCUUAUUUAUUUUGCGCAUUUACGCAUUUAAUUUAUAUACUAUCUGUCUCUACGACGUGGACGCGUAUUUCCUCGCCCCAUUUUCCCGUCAUCAACUGGGUAUAGAUUAAUGGAGAGUGAUCGCAUUCAAUGCUCGUGAUUUUUGUAGGGCAUUUCCGCCAAGUGUCUGAAUCUCAGUCUGAAUUGUUGCUUUGAAAAUGACAUCUUUAUCGCCCUUCUUUUGUAAUACCUAAACCGGAAUGGUCAUUUGGAUAGUUGUCAGAAAAAGAAGACAAAUGCUUGAACCAGUUUUGCACUGAUUUUUUUUAUGAAAUCCUCUGGGACUCCGAAACGAGGAAAGCAUGUGAAACUAAAUAUACUAUUUAUCCAACCAUUCACAACGGAGUUGGAUCUAGCAUCCAAGCAACGCCCAAAGAUAUUGCUUACAGAUAUAUAUUUUUGCAACAAAGAAAUAUGUAAUGCCGAUGUGCAGUUACUUGAAAUCCUUUGCAAUCGCAGGGUGCUAGUGAAGUAAGCUGCAGCCGCAUCCUGAAAUUCAUGUAUUUUGAAUUCCCGUAUGAUUUAACAUGGUAUGGCGUCCGAUUCUUAUUUCUUUAUUUUUUAAAUUCCAUGAUGAAAGAACUCAGCAUGAUUUUUCUUCUUUUACCUCAUUUAGCGAAACUUGUGCUGAUUUUAUCUCAUAUAAGUUUUUUAUCAUUCUGAUAGAUGUGAUCCAGUUUUUCAAGACGGCUUAACUUGCCACAUGGAUAAAGCAUUUUUCUUAGGCGCUUCCGACGUAGUAGCCAAGCAUGUAACCGGUUGAUUAUUUCUUAGUGCAUACACAAAUCAAUCAAUUGGAUCAAGCGGCGGCUGAGUCGCCUUGGCCAUUCCCCAACAAUUAGGCAUAUGGCGCGAGAAGGUGUGGCCAUGAACUGUCACUCGUGCUGGUGAGCAAAGCGACUAUUCGUUCUCCUCCGUCAUGGCCACGCUGAUGAGGAUGGACUGCUCUUACUAGCCGAUGGGAAAAAAAGGUCGCCACCAACACGACCAGGGCUCCCUUGUUUCCGUCGGCCGUUGUAGUAGGAUGCCCGACGACGCUUGGUCCCGUCAAGCGCACAAGCAGAGAAGAGCGGGAUAAACAUAGUGAUCGUGGUCAGGUUGUGGUUAGACUAAUUCUGGAUGGGACAGCUGGUCAGUCACAUUUGAUUACUUUAGACCUUUAGAUUUGUGUGGUUAAGUAAAUAAAAAUGAUCAUUUCAUAUCAAUCGGCAACGGAAAGACAAGGACAAUUUUUACCUUUUGCAUUACGCCCUAAAACCGUUAAGUAUUUGAUAUUUUAAGGCACACAAAGACGUGGGUAUUUUA
This 3473-nucleotide long non-coding RNA is filed under the name Brachypodium distachyon (stiff brome). RNAcentral's name for it is "long non-coding RNA (BDIS_LNC003207)". The record is from RNAcentral. Lineage: Eukaryota; Viridiplantae; Streptophyta; Magnoliopsida; Poales; Poaceae.